GACGAACGCUGGCGGCGUGCUUAACACAUGCAAGUCGAACGGAAAGGCCCUGCUUUUGUGGGGUGCUCGAGUGGCGAACGGGUGAGUAACACGUGAGUAACCUGCCCUUGACUUUGGGAUAACUUCAGGAAACUGGGGCUAAUACCGGAUAGGAGCUCCUGCUGCAUGGUGGGGGUUGGAAAGUUUCGGCGGUUGGGGAUGGACUCGCGGCUUAUCAGCUUGUUGGUGGGGUAGUGGCUUACCAAGGCUUUGACGGGUAGCCGGCCUGAGAGGGUGACCGGCCACAUUGGGACUGAGAUACGGCCCAGACUCCUACGGGAGGCAGCAGUGGGGAAUAUUGCACAAUGGACGGAAGCCUGAUGCAGCAACGCCGCGUGCGGGAUGACGGCCUUCGGGUUGUAAACCGCUUUCGCCUGUGACGAAGCGUGAGUGGCGGUAAUGGGUAAAGAAGCACCGGCUAACUACGUG
Molecule: ribosomal RNA, 468 nt
Filed under: uncultured bacterium
Lineage: Bacteria
Description: partial 16S ribosomal RNA
Rfam family: Bacterial small subunit ribosomal RNA
Source: RNAcentral